CCCUUAUUAACCAGACAAUGGACGAGCCGACUUCCGGUUGCUUCGCGCCGAAGCGGCCACACACAGCGGACCUGGCACUAUUUAUCCAGGCCGCUGGGUGGCGCUCGGGUUUGGCCGGCCGAUGGAGGAAAAGCAACGCGAAAGACCGGCAACACAGACGCUGACAAACACUGAACACAGGUAUGUAUUAACACGAUAACAUGACAAAACAUAGGAACAUAGAAACAAAAGACAACUCAGGUAUGUAUGCGUGUUGUUAUGCGCAGCAUGGAUACUGAUGGGGAUGGAAAUGGAGUGGAUAUGUUUGCGUGUAUGAAGACCAACGUACUAAUGGCGUUGCGUGUGCACCCACACCGCCCCAGCAGAGAACGGAGGAUGAGAAAUCAUCUCCAGCUUUUAAAGCCCUGUGGUUCUGUCCCGAUACAAGCUGCCACAUAAAUCAGGCAGAGUGAGAGCGGCUGGGACCACCUGACACUGGAUCACCCCCAUGGAAUCCUGGAAAUGGCGGAGUUCAUUCAGCGGAGCCACACCACGGGAGAGCUGGCAUCCCUGAAUUGUGUUUAUUUGUUGGCACCCUGUCGUGAAAACCUUCCCAUCAACUGCAUAUUAAUCUUGUCAGCAAAUUUCUAAAGGUCUUUCUUCCUUUGCAUCCACACCCCUCCCAGCUCAAACUUCUGAUGAAUUUAUGGCCCUCUCCUCACCUCCUCACUCAGCUCAGCCUUGCUCCUGUUCUCCUCCUGUUUCUCGACUCCUCUACUCCUUUCCUUUCCGGUCCAUAUACAUGUCCUGUAUAUCCACACAUGCAUUAAUACACAGGCUUCAUUGGUGACAUGUAGCCAUCAUAGAAGGUCAGUAAGAGCUCCAGUGAACAGAAACCUCUCAAUCCUGCUGAGAGCCCAUCUACUGGCUAAAGUAAUGGCGACAAUCACAAUCUGGCUGAAUACACCUAUAGACUGAAAGUAAUCAUUAUUGGCUUACAUUCUCUCACUCUGACUGUAAACAUUGGACUGGAAAAGGUGCAUUGCUAAUAUAAAUCUGCAAAUUACCAGGCCCACGUGGUAUGUGUGCCGUGCGUGCAAAACUUUAUACUUUAAGAAAAGUCUGUCUUAAUAUGAUUUUCCAUAUUCAUUUCUCACAGAUGUUUUACCUGUAUUUUCAAUUAUGAAAGGAAAUAUCUGUUACUGGUAAUUUUUUUUGCUAGGACAUGUUUUUUUCUUACAGUGACCAGCUCAGCAGGUUACUGUCAUUCAUAAAAUUAUAAAAAUGUCCUAUGUUAUGUUAGGCUUAUUUAUAUACUAUUAAAUUGUUUGUC
Molecule: long non-coding RNA, 1312 nt
Filed under: Sinocyclocheilus anshuiensis
Lineage: Eukaryota; Metazoa; Chordata; Actinopteri; Cypriniformes; Cyprinidae
Description: lncRNA (ENSSANG00000042819.1)
Source: RNAcentral